AGUCUGGUGCCAGCACCCGCGGUAAUUCCAGCUCUUAUAGUGUAUAUUAAAGUUGUUGCAGUUAAAAAGCUCGUAGUCUAAUAUCUAGUGCGGCGCGUGCUGGCUCACUGCCAGCGCGACGCGGUGCUAUCUGUUCGAGAACUUCUUCUAUCUUAACUGGUCGGAGAUGCUGAUCGGACUCUUUCCUGAGAAAAAAUUAGAGUGUUUAAAGCAGGCUAAUGCAAUGAAUAUUACAGCUUGGAAUAAUAGAAUAAGACUGGAGUGUCUUUUGUUGGUUACGAACUUUAGUAAUGGUUAAUAUAAACAGUCGGGGGUAUUAGUAUUUAAGUGUCAGAGGUGAAAUUCUAUGAUUACUUAAAGACUAACUUAUGCGAAAGCAUUUACCAAGGAUGUUUUCAUUGAUCAAGAACGAAAGUUAGGGGAUCAAAGACGAUCAGAUACCGUCCUAGUCUUAACUAUAAACGAUUCCGACCAAGGAUCGGGGAGGUCUGCUAAGCCGUCUCGGCACUUUAUGAGAAAUCAAAGUCUUUGGGUUCUGGGGGAAGUACGGACACAAGUCUGAAACUUAAAGGAAUUGACGGAAGGGCACACAAGAUGUGGAGACUGCGGCUUAAUUUGACUCAACACGGGGAAACUUACUAGAGCAAGACUAAGGUUGGAUUGACAGAAUGAGAGCUCUUUCUUGAUUCUUAGGGUGGUGGUGCAUGGCCGUUCUUAGUUGGUGGAGUGAUUUGUCUGGUUAAUUCCGUUAACGAACGAGACUUUAACCUGCUAAACUAGGAGCCGGAUUACUCAUCUGGUUUCCUUCUUAGAGGGACUACGUGUUCAAGCACAAGGAAGUUUGAGGCAAUAACAGGUCUGUGAUGCCCCUAGACGUUCUAGGCCGCACGCGUUCUACAAUGACGUAUUCAACGAGUUUCUUCCUGGCCUGGAAAGGUUCGGGUAAUCUUCAUAGGAUACAGUCGUGCUUUGGGAUUGUCCUUUGCAAUUAUAGGACAUAAACUAGGAAUAUCUAGUAUAGGUGCGUCAUCAGCGCACCUAGAUUAAGUCCCUGCCCUUUGUACACACCGCCCGUCGCUCCUACCGAUUUUGAGUGAUUAGGUGAACCUUCUGGAUCAGCGUGGUCUUCAAGUCCAUGCUGAGAAGUUAAGUAAAUCAUUAUCACUUAGAGGAAGGAGAAGUCGUAACAAGGU
Molecule: ribosomal RNA, 1193 nt
Filed under: metagenome
Description: SSU rRNA
Rfam family: Eukaryotic small subunit ribosomal RNA
Source: RNAcentral